GAUGAACGCUGGCGGCGUGCCUAAUACAUGCAAGUCGAGCGAACAGACGCGGAGCUUGCUCCUCUGACGUUAGCGGCGGACGGGUGAGUAACACGUGGAUAACCUCCCUAUCAGACUGGGAUAACUUCGGGAAACCGGCGCUAAUACCGGAUAAUAUAUUGAACCGCAUGGUUCAAUAGUGAAAGACGGUUUUGCUGUCACUUAUAGAUGGAUCCGCGCCGCAAUAGCUAGUUGGUAAGGUAACGGCUUACCAAGGCAACGAUGCGUAGCCGACCUGAGAGGGGGAUAGCCCACACUGGAACUGAGACACGGUCCAGACUCCUAAGGGAGGCAGCAGUAGGGAAUCUUACGCAAUGGGCGAAAGCUUGACGGAGCAACGCCGCGUGAGUGAUGAAGGUGUUCGGAUCGUAAAACUCUGUUAUUAGGGAAGAACAAAUGUGUAAGGAACUAUGCACGUCUUGACGGUACCGAAUCAGAAAGCCACGGCUAACUACGUG
Molecule: ribosomal RNA, 497 nt
Filed under: uncultured bacterium
Lineage: Bacteria
Description: partial 16S ribosomal RNA
Rfam family: Bacterial small subunit ribosomal RNA
Source: RNAcentral